Molecule: ribosomal RNA, 427 nt
Filed under: uncultured haloarchaeon
Lineage: Archaea; Methanobacteriati; Methanobacteriota; Halobacteria; Halobacteriales; Halobacteriaceae
Description: bacterial SSU rRNA
Rfam family: Archaeal small subunit ribosomal RNA
Source: RNAcentral
CGUCCUCGCUUUCGUGUACCGUAGGGUGGUACACCAACAAGGGCUGGGCAAGACCGGUGCCAGCCGCCGCGGUAAUACCGGCAGCCCGAGUGAUGGCCGAUCUUAUUGGGCCUAAAGCGUCCGUAGCUGGCUGCGCAAGUCCGUCGGGAAAUCCACUCGCCCAACGAGUGGGCGUCCGACGGAAACUGCACAGCUUGGGACCGGAAGGCUCGAAGGGUACGUUCGGGGUAGGAGUGAAAUCCCAUAAUCCCGCACGGACCACCGAUGGCGAAAGCACUUCGAGAAAACGGAUCCGACAGUGAGGGACGAAAGCCAGGGUCUCCAACCGGAUUAGAUACCCGGGUAGUCCUGGCCGUAAACAAUGUUCGCUAGGUAUGACACAGACUACGCGUCUCUGUUGUGCCGUAGGGAAGCCGAGAAGCGAACC